Molecule: non-coding RNA, 109 nt
Organism: Acanthosepion pharaonis
Lineage: Eukaryota; Metazoa; Mollusca; Cephalopoda; Sepiida; Sepiidae
Source: the annotation of a GenBank genome assembly
ACUAUAUCACGUUCAAACACCGGUUCUUGUACAAUCACCGAAGUUAAGCAAUGUCUAGCCUGGUUAGUACCUAGGUGGGCGACCGCUUGGGAAUUCCAGGUGAUGUAAG